UGCUACAGAGUCCCCGUCGACUAACCCUAAGAUUUGCUAUUAAAUGCCGCCGGUCUUUAGGUUGAUGGCAGCGCAACGGCGACUGUCCACCAAAGCCAGCCGUCAAGACAUACAUAAAGCAUUCAAACCUUCCGCACGCAUCAAUAGGUCCCAUUUUGCCUACCAAAGACGCAUUCUUUUCGUGCAUGCCCGGUUUCCCAAAAAAUCUCCUCCUCUCCUUCGUUCGUCGGUUGGAAUUUGGAAGCAAGGGAUGGAUUUGGAGGACGCAAGGCGGGAGAUUGGAGUCUUUUGGGUUGUCCGUAAAGGUGGUGAAGGAUGAGAACUUGUCGUUGCCGCGGGCAACGAGGAGACGUGCUCGUUUCCUCCGACUCCUGCCGAGGCGGAACGGGAUUUAAGGGUUCCUCAGAUGCAUUCGGUGAGGUUGAUGCCUUUCGAGCAUUGCACAUUAGGUUCUUGGACUUUGUUUGAGAAUUUGUGGAGUAUUUUACUCAAGAUAAUUCUUUCUCUUUUCUCAAGAAAGGAACCCGAAUAUUUCUGUUACCCCACAGUCAAAAAGAGCAAAGAACAUGCUAAAAAAUGAAUCCAGAAAGAAGAAAGAUCUACAAAGCUGAGGCAGAAAAAAAGAUUUUUUUGAGAAGAAGAAAAGUGUACCUUUGAUGUGAGUGCUCGUAGAGGAGAGAUAUUGACGCGGCUCAAUCCAACUACAUGGCUGUAUGAGCAUAUCCAGCCAUGUCUUCAGAUUGAGGCACGCCAAUACCUCCCCCUUCAGAUCCCAUCCUAUAUUCUUCUUCGAGCUGUGUACCAAACAGAUCAUGACACCAAUGUUCUUCCCUGGCCAUGCCGUGAUCAGCAUCUACUAUAAUAAUGCUAAGUUGUAUUGUUCAAAGGAUAGAAGAAGCGAGGUUUGUGGAGAAGAGAGGAACAACAUAAGGUCUCCUUUUCAUCAAAUUAGUAGUGCUCUUCUUUUAUAGUAGCUUUCUUAUUACUCUCUAUUGUGAUAGGUUCCUCUCUUACAUGACUGUGGAUGGAUACGUAGAGGCAGAAGCAGGAGAAAAGAGGGAGAAAAUGAAUCUGAGAGGACCACAUCAACAUGAAUCACUUUCAAGAUAAUCCAUGUAUACGUCGGUCGCAAUCAUUAAAAUUUCCCAGUAGGCAUCUGUCAUGUGUCUCUGCUUUGUCAAAUGGCAGUGUAAGACAUGUAUACAACUAUUAGAUUCUGUAAAGAGUGGAAGUAACUAUAUCUCUUGUAUUAAAAUUUAAAUGUGAUCUGAAAUGCAUAAAAACUAUGUUUCUAUUGA
This is a long non-coding RNA of Musa acuminata AAA Group (dessert banana), 1298 nucleotides long. RefSeq lists it as uncharacterized. The record is from RefSeq and is a predicted model, not a curated record. The transcript is spliced from 3 exons. NCBI's taxonomy places the organism in Eukaryota, Viridiplantae, Streptophyta, Magnoliopsida, Zingiberales, Musaceae.